This is a long non-coding RNA of Homo sapiens (human), 1900 nucleotides long. Lineage: Eukaryota; Metazoa; Chordata; Mammalia; Primates; Hominidae. The record is from Ensembl.
GACAACUCGCGGGGAUUGUUUUCCACACCGUGGAAGCUUUGUUCUUUUCGUUUUUUGCAAUAAAUCUUGUUGCUGCUCGCUUUUUGGGUCCACAUUGCUUUUAUGAGCUGUACCACUCACCGUGAAGAUCUGCAGCUUCACUUCAGAGCCUAGCGAGACCACAAGCUCACUGAGAGGAACAAACAACUCCAGACGCGCUGUCUUAAGAGCUAUAACACUCACCGCGAAGGUGUGCAGUUUCACUCCUGAGCUAGUGAGACUACGAAGCCACUGGAACGAAGAAACUCCAACCACGUUUGAACAUCAGAAGGGGCAGACUCCAGACGCUUCAUCUUAAGAGCUGUAACACUCACUGUGAAGGUCUGCAGCUUCACUCCUGAGCCAGCGAGACCACGAACCGAUCUGAACAUCAGAAGGGACAGACUCCAGAUGCCCCACCUUAAGAGCUGUAAUACUCACUGCAAGGGUCUGCAGCUUCAUUCUUGAAGUCAGACCAAGAACCCAGCAAUUCCCAACACACAGGGACCAGCUUCUUUCCUAACUCACUUAGGCUCUUCGUGCUGCUCUGGCAACUAACACCCUUGGCUGCAGGGGCUUGGACACUACCCUUAGUCACUGACAAUUGUGUGAAGGCUGCUGUCGUUAACUUCACUUGAUCACCUUAGGCUCCUGUGAAGUGGUGAGCAAUUCAAACAAAUUCCUGUCGUCAAAUCAUAUGGAGAAAUUGCACUGCAGAGAAAUCUUUAAAAGCAAUUACCUAAUACUGCAGAUUGCUGAACUGUACCCACACCCAAGACUGAGCAUUGGAUCAAUCCAGAAUAUACAUCAGGUGUUCUGCAAUGUCUGCCUAAAACCAUGACUCUGCCUCCUCCAGCUGUUGCUACAUCUCACUAUGGGUUUCCUGUGACAUUUUGAGCAAGUAUGCCUCUGUGACUGGGGUUCUUACACUCCAGAAUGGAUGAGAAGCACCGAGCAUUCUAGCUAAGAAAUGAAGGAGGCGUGACAGAAAAUAACCAUUUUGCAGCUCCUUGUGGACUAAUGAAUAGAUGCAUUGAGCAAUAACAAUUGCUACUAUGAGAGAGAGAGAAAGAGAGAGAGAGAGCGCACGCCAGAUAUUAUAUAUCCUGAUGGAAGAAUACAGCACCACCUGUGAAAUAUUUCCCACUCCUCAUUCUCUGCUGGAAAAAAGGACCUGACUCUGAACAGGCCUCUAGAUACAACUACCAAGAGAGAGGAAGUACAGAGGGACAUGGGAAGCCACCAUGGGGAUGCCAUCAGCACUCUGGUCAGGGGAGAUGCUACAGGACAGCAAUGUGGCUUCCACCAGAAAUAAAAUGCAAGAAGGACCUUUAGAUUGAAAAAGACCUGAGACAUAACAACGAAUCACAGGCGUGGGCUUCAUUUAGAUCUUGACUGAAGCAAAUAAACCAUAAAAGGAAAUAAAAUUAUGAAAUGUAUGAGUCAACUGGAAAUUCAAAUAUGACUGGACAUGUGAUGGCCUGUUAAGAAACUAUCUUUGAUUGUUUACAGAUGUGAUUGUGGUAUUGUGAUUAUGUUGGGGGAGGGAAAGAAUUUAUCCUUUUAGUGACACAUACUGAAAUAUUUACAGAUUAAGUGAUAAGGUCUCUAGGAUUUGCUUCAAAUUAGUAUAAGAGUAGAGUACCUAGGGGCGGUUAAAAUGAAACAACAUUGUUCACGAGUUAAUUAUUUAAGAAUUUAAAGCAUAUGGACAUAUGGGGAUAUAUUAUACUAUUCUGUAUUGAACUACUUUGGUGAAAAUAAUGAAAAGUUUUCAAAAAAUAAUUAUAUGUGAAUAGUAAAAGUAAAAAGAGGAAUGCCUAUGAUUAUUGAAAUAAUUAAAUUAAUACAUACCUUUCUUCCUUUAUCUAGAGGUUCAUGA